CUUCUCCAAAUGUUUGCACCUCCAUCAAAGCGGCGGGGCAAGCCCCGGAGGAAGCGCGCCCGGAUCCCGCAGCCGCGCCAGGCUGGAACGUUCGCGCGGCCUCACCUGUCCCCGCUCCAGGCGCGCCUCCCUCCCCUCCCAGGGACGAGCGCAUUUGGCCGGGCUUUGGGAUGCGCCGCGCUCGUCUCGCCGCAGUAGUAGUGCUGUUCUCGCGCCUCCGAUGCCUCAACUCUCCAGUCUGGCAGUUUCCGGUGCACCUGUCCCCACACGUCCCUCGCCCACGGAGCCCCAGGCGGCGUUACGCACACCCAGGAUCGUGGAUCAGCCUGCCCCGGCGUCGGGUGUCCCCGCGGCUCUCACCAUCUGGAAAAGGAAGGACUUGUUGCCGAGGUCAGCGCGCGCAUCGAGUGUGCCAGGCGUGUGCGUGGUUUCUGCUGUGUCAUUGCUUUCACGGAAGAGAGAAUGUCUGAAGCAUUGAAGAGUACGACCCAGGAAUUGAACCACCCAAGUCGGAGGAGGUAGAGGUUGGAAGUCACCGACUUUGGCCAGCACUUGUGUAGUGUCACCUGUCUUCACUUUCUAACGUUUAUUUUUCCUCCCCUUUCUGUGGCUGAUUUUCUGAUCUUUGUUCCUCGGUUCCCAGGACCAGGCCCACUCCCUCCGCCUUUUCAGCGAAGGCUGCAGUGCAUGACAGUUUACAGCCAAAACUUCCUCCAGCCCGGCUAUAAAGAAUUCCCAGUUAAUAACAAUGCGCUUCCUUGGGAGGAAAGAGGGGCUGAGGCACCGCCAGCUGUUUCGCUCCCAGGGUCUAUCUCUCCUUGGCAAGCCCAGCCAUUCAGAGAAAAACAAGACAAAGCCUUAUGGCUGGGCCUCAGGAUGCAACUGUCCCACCGAAAACAUGCUUGAAACAUUUUAUAAGAAAACACACACACACACCCCACUCGACUCCCAGAGAGGCAGUUUUCCUGGGCCCAAUCCCUUCUGAAAAAGCAAAGCCAUUUAUCUUUAGAAGCAGGCAACAAUGAAGCUGUAACAGGCUCAAGGAGGGGUGGAGGACAGCCUCGCGUGACUCUUACCCCACACUCUAGUCCCUCUCUUUCUGCAAGAAAAACAAAUGAAUUUCUUUUCUGAUUAUAUAUGUACUCCUUGUAGAAAUAUUAUAUAUGUAUCUGUCUUCAUAUAUAUGUAAAACAGUCACCCACAGUAUCUGUGGGGGAUUGGUUCCAGGACCUACAAAGAUGGCAGAAUCCAGGGAUGCCCUAGUCCCUUGGCAUGGUAUUUGCAUAUAACCUAUGGACUUCCUCCAUGAACUAUAAAUCACUUCUGGAUUACUUAUAAUACCUAAUACAAUGUAACACUAUGCAAAUAGUAGUUAUACUGUAUUGCUUUUUAUUUGUAUAAUUUUUAUUCUUUCAUUAUUGGGGAGAGGGAGUUUGGAAUGUUUUCUAUCAAUUCAACCAACCACGGAUAUGGAACCUGUGGCUAUGGAGGGCUGGCUGUAUGUUUAUCUCUCUCUAUGUAUAUAAAUGCUAACCUCAAGCACUAAGCAAUGUUCAUA
This 1558-nucleotide long non-coding RNA is filed under the name Homo sapiens (human). RNAcentral's name for it is "lncRNA divergent activator of TBXT (LNCDAT)". The record is from RNAcentral. Lineage: Eukaryota; Metazoa; Chordata; Mammalia; Primates; Hominidae.